UUUUUAAUUUGUACAUAUAGC
Molecule: non-coding RNA, 21 nt
Filed under: Caenorhabditis elegans
Lineage: Eukaryota; Metazoa; Nematoda; Chromadorea; Rhabditida; Rhabditidae
Source: RNAcentral